CAGUAGCCGCGGUAAUACAGAGGGUGCGAGCGUUAAUCGGAUUUACUGGGCGUAAAGCGUGCGUAGGCGGUUUGUUAAGUCGGAUGUGAAAGCCCUGGGCUUAACCUAGGAAUUGCAUUCGAUACUGGCGGACUAGAAAUCGGUAGAGGGAGGUGGAACUCCAGGUGUAGCGGUGAAAUGCGUAGAUAUCUGGAAGAACACCGAUGGCGAAGGCAGCCUCCUGGGCCUGAUUUGACGCUGAGGCACGAAAGCGUGGGGAGCAAACAGGAUUAGAUACCCGAGUAGUCCCUGUCUCUUAUAA
RNAcentral lists this ribosomal RNA (301 nucleotides) under uncultured bacterium. RNAcentral's name for it is "partial 16S ribosomal RNA". It matches the Rfam family "Bacterial small subunit ribosomal RNA", at positions 509 to 809 of the family's 1533-position model. The record is from RNAcentral.